CGGACACCUUGGCUUACCCGUUGCCGUGUUCUUUUGUUCUCAGAAUGAGAGAUUCUCCUCCACGACAUCACCUCUCCUCAUCUCCUUCCCAGCCACUUUGGCAAGUUGUGUUCUACCUCCUACUCACAGCACCAGCGGGGAGUGAGAACUGGGACUAAGAGGUUGAUUUGGGGCCUGCUACACUGUAAUCAAAUGAGACUGCUUAGGGGAGAGGAGAAGGAGGAGGUGGAGUAUUAUGUUCUGUCAUGCAUUCCACUGCAGCAUUGUUGCUUUUUUGUUUUUGUCAGGGCAGGCUUUGAUGCUGUAUCCUCUUACCUUUGUAGUCCCGGUAGCCAUGUUUCAUAAACACGGAAUGGGAAACAUCCUCAGCAUUAGAAAUUUAGAUUGCUGCUUUCCUCCUGCCACUCUGCAUUCCGCACGUGCCCGGUCGCAUUCUCCAUCUCCCAAUGCUGAGGUAUUAAGUUUCCUCUCCCAUGCCUCUGAUACAUUUAAACAUCUUACAAUCAGUCCCUUUUAUUCGGUGUGUCAUGUAUAAUCUGCGGAAACAACAAUGCCAACAUGGCUCUAUGUUGCUCUCGCUCUCUUGGUACUUAAGAAGUCUGCUGUCACUGUUUUGUUUCAGGACAAUUGCACUUGCAAAAUGCUUACUUGCUUUAAAUUGAGAAGUUGCUAGGUAUUCAAUUUAGAACUUGUCUUCAUUAUUAAGAAUGUAAUAUUAAUGUCAAGCUAUCUUUCUUUGUAUUUUCACAAAGGGAAUAGGCAGUGCAUGGUUGUCUUUGUAGUUAACCGAAAGUCUCAGUGGGAUAACAGUGUAUUAUAAUCCUUAAUCUAUCUUAACUCAUUAAAAUGCAGUGUUCAGUUCUGCUGGCCAAAUUUUAUUGUCUCGUUGCAUUUUUAGUGAUAUGAGAGAAAUUUCAUGUGUAAUUGAAUAUUUAAAUGUCAGACACUGACGAGAAUCAUUGCAAAGUCCUGAAAUUACUGCCACAUAUAGGUAUAUAAUAUACUUAAGAAAAAAAGUUAGAUAAGAUGCAAAUCUAUAUUUGUCAGCAGAAUCGUCCUCUGUAACACACUGUGCCUCAGUUCUCUCUUUUCUUCUACCUCUUCUUCUUCUUGGAAAGUAACCAUUUUGUCCGACAUCUGACACACUGCCCUGGGUUAUUGAGCCAGACGUGGAAAUCCAAAGCGGAGAUGCUCUCCUUAAUGCCUGACACCUGGUGCAGAUUUGGAAGGGAUUGCACUACAGGCUGCGUCCAGUUCUGUCACUGGUCCUUAGUGCUCCAGCAGCCUGGUCAAAAAGACAUCCUGGCAGGGUCCCAGGGUGGAUGCAUCGCCCACGCACGCUGCUCUUGCCAGAUCCCAGAAGUCUUUGUGGUGAACCACUGACCGUGCUGCUCCCUAUUUUCUUCCAACCCAGCAAAUAAUGUGUCAGAAAAAGAUUAUUGAUAGCCCAUAAAAGAAGAGGCAGAAUGUUGUUGCCACUCUGCUCCAACUUUAAGGAACAAUACAAGUGCUAAACCAUCAGUUUCAAUGGUGCACUGCUCCUGAAAGAGCACAGCAUUUAUUUUUCACAUUGUUGUUCAGUUUGAAUAAAAGGUGCUACAACUGGAACAUGAACAGACAACAAUUACUUCUAUUUUUUUUAAAUGCUGCUUCAUUUUCCUUUACAUUUGAAACCUUGUAGUGAAGUUGGCAACUUUGUACUGUGUCUAUUCAAAAGAAAAAUGAGAUCCCUCAAAAGAAACAUUGAAAUUUUCUCCAUGCUCUGUUGAGUCAUUCGCAUUUUUUGCCAACUUUACCAGACACUGGCGAAGCUGUUGCUCAUCUGGCCUAAAUGUGGCCUGAGUGGGUGAUUCUCAGACAGAUGAGGG
Astatotilapia calliptera (eastern happy) is the source of this 1868-nucleotide long non-coding RNA. The record is from Ensembl. Lineage: Eukaryota; Metazoa; Chordata; Actinopteri; Cichliformes; Cichlidae.